GUCUACAGCCACGCCACCCUGAACAAGCCCGAUCUCGUCUGAUCUUGGAAGCUAAGCAGGGUCGGGCCUGGUUAGUACUUGGAUGGGAGACCACCUAGUUAGACCGAGUGCUGUAGGCA
This 119-nucleotide ribosomal RNA is filed under the name Pteropus alecto (black flying fox). The record is from RNAcentral. Lineage: Eukaryota; Metazoa; Chordata; Mammalia; Chiroptera; Pteropodidae.